This is a long non-coding RNA of Dermacentor silvarum, 407 nucleotides long. RefSeq lists it as uncharacterized. The record is from RefSeq and is a predicted model, not a curated record. NCBI's taxonomy places the organism in Eukaryota, Metazoa, Arthropoda, Arachnida, Ixodida, Ixodidae. The transcript has 3 exons.
GGAACACAGAACUAUCUUCGAUACCACAGUAGGCUAGUUCAUACAUUUACUGUUUCAGGCCCGAAGCAUCCAAGACGCGGCUAAAGAUGCAACAUUUACUCAAGUGGGAGACAGCUACGUCCAGCAGGUACAAUUCUUGCACGACAGCAUCGACCCCGAACGUAUGCGUCUAAGUGGGGCAGAGUUCUUCUACCUCGACCGGAGGCUUCUGGUUUCGAUAGCCGGCUCAGUCAUUACAUACACAGUAAUCCUAGUGCAGACCAACCAAGGCCUCUCUCCUCGGGCUAGCACUCACAUGAUGAACAAAGGGACGUGAGUAGCCGCCCGCAACUCAUCAGUUUACGGGAAGACAGCACCAUUGUUAUACUCGAAAUGUCGUAUCGCUAGACUAUCUUGAACUGCUGUAA